This 606-nucleotide ribosomal RNA is filed under the name Triticum aestivum (bread wheat). Its description in RNAcentral is "partial small subunit ribosomal RNA". Lineage: Eukaryota; Viridiplantae; Streptophyta; Magnoliopsida; Poales; Poaceae. The record is from RNAcentral.
UGUAGUCUCAACGAUGAUGCAUACAUGUUCACUAUGGGUGUUGGGUCCAACAAUUCGCAUUGGUCUCAAACCAAUGACAUCCAUUUCGAAGACCAUGAGUUUGAGGUGGACGAGGAGGGUGAGGGAAUUGUCGAGGCGCCGAAAGAAAGAGCGGGCAAUUACUCAACCAACGAUGACAAGUUACUAUGCCAUACUUAUUUGCAAGUAUCGAGGGAUCCAUCCAUUGGAGGUGAUCAAAGUAGAGACGCGUAUUGGGGGCGAAUGAAAGAACACUUUGAUGCUCACAACUUGAGUGGAAUUGACCACUCCGAGAGAUCACUUCAGUCCCGAUGGUCGACAAUCAACUCGGAUUGUCAAAAGUGGGCGGCCGUACAAAAGGCAGUUGACAAGAUUAACCCAAGUGGCACAAAUGAGGAUGAUCGAGUAAGUGGCAUCUCAUAUAUAUUCAUCAUACUUGUUUUUGGUGACCGAAGUGCUAACUUGUUUUGUUUUUCUUGUAGAACAACAUUGCACAAAACUUGUUCAAAGAAGAGACAAGGACAACCAAGAAGGGGAAGAUCAAGAAAGGCAGGGUCUUUACCUUGCCUCAUUGCUAUGAAGUGUUAA